GAUGAACGCUGGCGGCGUGCUUAACACAUGCAAGUCGAACGAUGAAGGAGGAGCUUGCUCCUCUGGAUUAGUGGCGAACGGGUGAGUAACACGUGAGCAAUCUGCCCCUGACUCUGGGAUAAGCGUUGGAAACGACGUCUAAUACCGGAUACGAGCCGAGCAGGCAUCUGCAUCGGUUGGAAAGAACUUCGGUCAGGGAUGAGCUCGCGGCCUAUCAGCUAGUUGGUGAGGUAAUGGCUCACCAAGGCGACGACGGGUAGCCGGCCUGAGAGGGUGACCGGCCACACUGGGACUGAGACACGGCCCAGACUCCUACGGGAGGCAGCAGUGGGGAAUAUUGCACAAUGGGCGCAAGCCUGAUGCAGCAACGCCGCGUGAGGGACGACGGCCUUCGGGUUGUAAACCUCUUUUAGCAGGGAAGAAGCGAGAGUGACGGUACCUGCAGAAAAAGCACCGGCUAACUACGUGCCAGCAGCCGCCGUAC
RNAcentral lists this ribosomal RNA (484 nucleotides) under uncultured bacterium. RNAcentral describes it as "partial 16S ribosomal RNA". It matches the Rfam family "Bacterial small subunit ribosomal RNA", at positions 28 to 523 of the family's 1533-position model. The record is from RNAcentral.